AGUCACCUAGGAGGAUUUCAUUUCCCUUUGCUAUGAGCUACCAAUGUGACCUCAACCAGAUUACAGAAUCCCUGACAUUUUAACCAUAUGCUCUCACAAGCUGUGUGCAUGGCUCUGCCGCAUCCUUGCUUCUCCUUCAUGGCUCUGCUCAGAGACCUUCAUCAAGAAUCAUCUCCACUCUACUUGCCCUGGUGAACUUUGGAAUCAUGUCAUCAAGUUCCCCUCAAAACCGGUGUGCUAAAUUGAGAACUUGGAAUGAGGUCGUUCAUGGAACCUCAGGGGGUGCAGAUGCCAGACUCAGCAGCAAUAGCAGGGGGUGCACAUUGCCAUGCCCUGCAAGCCCUAGUCCAUUCAGUAAGUGGCUCCAGCCCACUCUGCAUGGCCCUGGCCCCUGCUGUGGGAGGCAGGUGAUCCCAUCCAGCCAGAUCAUCUCUGUAAGUGAGAUUCUUUGUUCCAUUUUUUCUGUUGUUUUCUUUUUUUAUUAAAGAGUAUGGUGACUUUUUUUAAAAAUACAUUGAUUUAUAUUAUAUAUAUUGUACACUAUUGAGGUAUAAUUGGCCCACAAAAAUCUGCCCAUACCGAAUGUGCACAAGCUGGUGAGUUUAGACCACCACUACUACUUUAAUCAAGGUAGUAACCUUGUCCAUCACUUCUGACAGUUUCCUCCUGCACUACUGCCCCCUUUUAUUUGUUUUAUUAUGGUAAGAACAAGAGAGAGAAAUGGGGCAUUGUUGUUUAACAGGCAUAAUGGUUUCAGUUUUGCAAGAGGAAUAAGUCCUAGAGAGCUUCUGUAUGUCAUAGUGCCUGGAGUUAACACACAUGUAGCUACUUGAGGGGGACUUGGCUUUAUCUGAGAAGAUGCUAAGGGCCUCAGCAUAUGCUGCCAUUAGAUGGUCCAGGGAAAACAUUUGAACAGCACUUCCUGAGGAAAAAUUGAGCAGUGAGGUGAUUGAGUUGCUGGGAAUUUGGCCAGCUCUUGCCCUUGCAGGGAUGAGCCUGUACCUGAAUGAGACUAGGAAAGGAGGACUAGUUUAUAAGAGUAUUAAAGGGGAAGAUAAUCUGGGAUCCUUGUCCAAAUGCUGGUGCCUUGGAUGGUAAUGGUCCUGUACUGCUAUGAUAUUUAGAUUCUGGCCUUCCAGAGAUACUCAGACUGUAGGCAGAAAGGUGUGGCUUGAGGCCAGAUCACUUCUUUGUUUUGCCACUAAGAUGACAUCUGUGCAUCAUAGCAAUACACUGCAGUGGUGGGCCUUGUGUUUACUGCUUGAUGUGUUAAGAACAAGACUCAUGGGCCCAACAAGACUGAUUGUAUUGGCUCAUUCAUUUUCUUAAGUAAUAUUUGAGGUCAACUGUGGGUCAGACACUAUUCUAGGCUCUGGAGAUAUGUUGAGGGCAACAACCAAUCCAUGCCCUCAGAAAGACAAUGUUCUCUCUGUACAGAUGACAAUGAAUAGGUUGGCAAUGGCACAUAUCAUUUCAUGUGCCUGAGACGACAAAGAAAAAUAAAGCAGGAGAGAGUGGAGAGUGACA
This 1527-nucleotide long non-coding RNA is filed under the name Oryctolagus cuniculus (rabbit). RNAcentral's name for it is "lncRNA (ENSOCUG00000034179.1)". Lineage: Eukaryota; Metazoa; Chordata; Mammalia; Lagomorpha; Leporidae. The record is from RNAcentral.